CCCUACGGGGGGCAGCAGUGAGGAAUAUUGGUCAAUGGUCGGGAGACUGAACCAGCCAAGCCGCGUGAGGGAUGAAGGUACAGAGUAUCGUAAACCUCUUUUGUCAGGGAACAAAGGCGGGGACGUGUCCCCGGAUGAGUGUACCUGAAGAAAAAGCAUCGGCUAACUCCGUGCCAGCAGCCGCGGUAAUACGGAGGAUGCGAGCGUUAUCCGGAUUUAUUGGGUUUAAAGGGUGCGCAGGCGGGCUGUUAAGUCAGCGGUCAAAACCCGGGGCUCAACCCCGGCCCGCCGUUGAAACUGGCAGG
This 305-nucleotide ribosomal RNA is filed under the name uncultured bacterium. RNAcentral's name for it is "bacterial SSU rRNA". It matches the Rfam family "Bacterial small subunit ribosomal RNA", at positions 337 to 640 of the family's 1533-position model. The record is from RNAcentral.